CCCGACCUCCUCUUCCCACCGCCCUCCCUCCGCAGGCUCCCUCUCGCAAUUCCUGAUGGAGAAGUUGACGGCGGCGCGGACGCCAUCUCCACAUCGGGACCUACAUCAGCGCCGCCGCUCGCAGUUCCUCCAUCCAGAUCGGCGCCCCAGCUCACAGUUCCUCAAUUGACAUCGGCGCGCUCGCUCGCAGUUCCUGAUGGAGUGGCCGACGGUGCCGCCGCCGCCAUCUCCACAUCUGGACCUACAAAGGAUCUCUGCCAUCGGGACAUACAAAGGACCUCCAAGAAGUAUCUCUGCCAUCUUCAGAAAUCACUGCAGCUGCAAAUCAAGGUUUCAGUGCAAACUUAACAACUCCCUUGGAUGUGAUCAAGACAAGACUGCAAGGUGAAGGAUCAACAACUAGGUACAUGGCAAAUCUGAUCUGAGCGAAAAGAGUUCUCCAGCGCAGCUCUUUGGUUUCUUGAGUUGGUUCAUAGCUUUUUUUUUAGAGAUUGAAGGUGCUUCAUGUUAGAAUUAUUCUUGUGCUUAGUCUCAUACAUUGGUUGAUAAUGCUGUAAUAAUUAGCUAAAUAUCUGUGACCUGAACACAUUUGCCCCCUUGUCUUGAAGUGAUAACCAUAUCACUACUGCAGAUUGGGUGCUUCAGUACUGUUGCUGAUCGAUGGAAAUCUGAUACUGGAAGUUGUAA
Lolium rigidum is the source of this 687-nucleotide long non-coding RNA. RefSeq lists it as uncharacterized. The transcript is spliced from 2 exons. The record is from RefSeq and is a predicted model, not a curated record. NCBI's taxonomy places the organism in Eukaryota, Viridiplantae, Streptophyta, Magnoliopsida, Poales, Poaceae.